AGGAAAAUUAAUGAGUUGAACUCUUCAUAAUUGUUGUUUAACUGUCUAUAGCAAGGAACAGUAGGCAGUUUAGAAUGCAGACAUGGAAUUCAGUUAAAAGACCUAAGUUGGUAGUAUAGAUCCAGAAGUCUUUGGAAAAAUUUGCACUUUGUAAUUAUAGCCCUUGGAGAGAAUGAGAUCCCUCCAGGUACUUAGUCUCUUGAGAAUUACAUCAAACAAGCCAAUUCCUAGACAAGAAUUUUCUCAGCAUAUAUUUAGAGGUGAACAAUAAAUAUAUUUGCUAUUAAAGUA
Long non-coding RNA from Leopardus geoffroyi (Geoffroy's cat), 291 nucleotides. RefSeq lists it as uncharacterized. NCBI's taxonomy places the organism in Eukaryota, Metazoa, Chordata, Mammalia, Carnivora, Felidae. The transcript is spliced from 2 exons. The record is from RefSeq and is a predicted model, not a curated record.